Molecule: ribosomal RNA, 253 nt
Filed under: uncultured bacterium
Lineage: Bacteria
Description: partial 16S ribosomal RNA
Rfam family: Bacterial small subunit ribosomal RNA
Source: RNAcentral
GACGUAGGGGGCCAGCGUUGUUCGGAAUUACUGGGUGUAAAGGGUUCGUAGGCGGUGUGGCAAGUCGGGAGUGAAAUCUCUGGGCUCAACCCAGAGUCUGCUUCCGAAACUGCUGUGCUUGAGUGUGGGAGAGGCGCGUGGAAUUGCAGGUGUAGCGGUGAAAUGCGUAGAUAUCUGCAGGAACACCCGUGGCGAAAGCGGCGAGCUGGAUCACUACUGACGCUGAGGAACGAAAGCUAGGGGAGCAAACAGG